This is a long non-coding RNA of Clarias gariepinus (North African catfish), 1768 nucleotides long. RefSeq lists it as uncharacterized. Lineage: Eukaryota; Metazoa; Chordata; Actinopteri; Siluriformes; Clariidae. The record is from RefSeq and is a predicted model, not a curated record. The transcript has 3 exons.
UGCUCUACCAAUUUCCAUAAGGUAAAUCCAGCCUUGCAGUUCCCAUCAUUUCUCUAAAGCACCCAGUGACAGAGGUCUUAUUUGUGUGUGCCAACUAUAUGAAGAAAAUCAUUGAGGACUGCAGUCUGAGGAGACGAUUAAACUACUACGAUUCUGCUGCUGGCAGAACCCUCACUUCUCGUCCACUGCGUUAAGCGAGCUUCUCUGGCAGAAUCCACAAUGUGCUAAAAAGAAUUUCUGAUGACCGGGAUGGGUUGUUAUACCAUUCAGCGUUCCAAGAAUCACUACAAGAAGAGGGCUUAUAAGUGCAUUACGUGCAUGGUAGCUCUCUUCAGCAACUGCCCUGUGGCCUGCCAGAUCCUACAGCCAAACAACCACACCCAUGGGCAGCCAUGCACGGGUCCAGCUGCCCCCACAUUAGCAACCCUCGGCGUGCCCCUCAGACGCCUCAGGACAACUGGGAGGACACAGAACUAGUGCUCCCUGUCCAGAUGAAAGAGUAGCCAUCUCCACAAGGGAAUAACCUCCAAAUACACCUUACAUCUGCUCUUUACCCUGUCACCUCCUUCUCCCACAUCAUCAGCCACCCACCUAUUCCUAAGUAAGAAUGUUUACCUCAGAAUCAGAGUGGAUUUGUCCUCUGCUGAGCAAGGUGCACUUAAUAUAUGCUCACAGGAACACAGACAUGCUUAAUGUGGAGAUGGUGUACAUAUCGUGUAUAAAUCUAGACAGUGAAAUAACUACCAACUAGAAUAUUGGCUGCCAAAUUGUGAAUGUGUUAUAUGGGAAUGAGGAUAUGUAUUCAUGAUUCUGAUUGUAGGGAAUAAAACCUGGUUAGAAUGCCAACACUGAAACAAAAAUAAAAAUUGUGGGUUUUAAAAUAUGUUCAUCUAAACCUGAGGUGUUUAGUCUUAUCUGCAGAGAGUCAGUGUAGGUGUAGGUUUCUUAUUUGUAGCACACCUAAUUUCAUUGGUUCUGAUUAUUUAUAUAUAGUUGGAUUUUUGAACAUCUUUCAUUUUUCAUCUAAAAUUUACCACUACUACUGCAUUACUUUAGUCACUGUAUUUUUCCCUGCCAACCUUACACUCCAAACAAAGGCCACAGUUGUAGCUGUCAUUAGGUGAAAUGGCAAAUUUGUCCUAAACUAAUGCUAAACAGAAAAUUACAUUUUGAAUGUUUCAUUUAAUAUAAUAUAAAAUAAUAUUAGCAGAUACUAGCGAUUUGCUUAGUUAUCACUUAACCACUUGGGAAACUUGCCACUUGUCCAAACUCACUACAGUCAGUUAGCAGCCAUAUACCUAAAACUCGAAGGAUAAACAUUGAUCUAGGAGAGUGUAUCAUCAGGGGUAUACAUCUGUGAUUAGCAUUCUGCAGUAUUGGUUGGUGUCCAUACAUACUAGACCAGAUUAUUUAAUGAAUGAUUGGAUUUUAUUUCAUGGUUUUGUUUGAAAUACCAAAAUGAUGAUGUGACCCCAAAUUAUAUUUAUAUGUUUUUAAUAAAUGUUAUUUCUGAAAUAAUCAAAGGUAUAUUUAAAUGCUUGAGUGUAAUGUGUUAAAUCAAGCAUGCCUUUUGACAAAAAUAGUCAAAUUAUAGAUUGUAUAUCAUGGUAUUUAUAGUGAUGUAUCUGUUUUUCAAUUGUUCUUUCAUAUCUUGUAUAUUUAUCUGGAGAACUCUGCAGCUGCGUUGAACAUUUUUUUGUAUCUUCUAAAGUAUAUUACCCCCUUGUAGCCCUUAAACAUUCUUCUAGACAUUUGUUAAAACUGCUAG